AUUGAACGCUGGCGGCAGGCCUAACACAUGCAAGUCGAACGAGUGGUGGACGGGUGUGUAGUGUCUGGGAAACUGCCCGAUGGAGGGGGAUAACUACUGGAAAGGGUAGCUAAUACCGCAUACCAUUGGAUGCGCCCAGAUGGGAUUAGCUAGUAGGUUGGGUAACCGCUCACCUAGGCGACGAUCCAUAGCUGGUCUGAGAGGAUGACCAGCCACACUGGAACUGAGCCUCGGUCCAGACUCCUACGUGAGGCAGCAGUGGUGAAUAUUGCACAAUGGGCGCAAGCCUGAUUCAGCCAUGCCUCGUGUAUGAUGAGGGCCUUCGGGUUGGAAAGUACUUUCAGCGAGGAGGCGUUACUCGCAGAAGAAGCACCGGCUAACUCCGUGCCAGCAGCCGCGGUAAUAC
This 406-nucleotide ribosomal RNA is filed under the name uncultured bacterium. RNAcentral's name for it is "partial 16S ribosomal RNA". It matches the Rfam family "Bacterial small subunit ribosomal RNA", at positions 30 to 526 of the family's 1533-position model. The record is from RNAcentral.